Molecule: unclassified non-coding RNA, 683 nt
Filed under: Priapulus caudatus
Lineage: Eukaryota; Metazoa; Priapulida; Priapulimorpha; Priapulimorphida; Priapulidae
Description: uncharacterized LOC106818594, transcript variant X2
Source: RNAcentral
ACUUAUUAAUUGUACGUUAUAAAGCCAUUAAUUAAGUUGUAUCUACCAAAGAUGUUUGUAGACAGAUAUAUAGUUUCUUUCCAGCACAUAACAAUGCAUUUGCUGAAAACUAUACUAAGCUCAUUGUUAAAACCACAUCUUGGCUGUUAGUAUUACGCAUCACAAAAGAAAUGACCCCCGACCACCGUGGGGCACUACUAGAUGAUGCUUCACUACUCAGAAUACCUCAGGAACCAAAUGGGAGAAACGCUGAUGCAUCGCUACAUAAAAGUGCAGACAACCAGGAGUAACUGUGAUCAGGAACUUGAGCAGCUAACGUCAAGCUUGUCAGAAUCCAUCCUCAUGCUGCUAGUUGAGCUGCGACCACCUCACAGUGAAGACCUUUUGUUGGGGAUUCGCAUCCAUGUUCUUUAAAUGGAAGACACUUACUUGUGUUUUCCCGAGAUCGGCACCUAUAUGGUUAUUAAUGUCCUUAUAUUAGCUGUAAUCUAAGCUGUAAUCUCGUCUUGGUUUUUGUACUAACCAGAGCAAUUAUUGCCUUAAAAUAUGUAUGCCUCUAAUCUGUGCACAUAAAUAUCGGUGCAUAUAAGUUGUAUUGUUUUUGCAGUUGUCAGAUACAAAAGUGUUAUUAUUUCAACAAGUGCGUUCAUCUUAAGUGUUAUAAUAAGUAUAUUGAUUAAUAA